This 345-nucleotide ribosomal RNA is filed under the name uncultured bacterium. RNAcentral describes it as "partial 16S ribosomal RNA". It matches the Rfam family "Bacterial small subunit ribosomal RNA", at positions 338 to 681 of the family's 1533-position model. The record is from RNAcentral.
CCUACGGGAGGCUGCAGUGAGGAAUAUUGGUCAAUGGCCGGAAGGCUGAACCAGCCAUGCCGCGUGAAGGGCAGGGGCCUAUGGGCGUUAAACUUCUUUUGUGCGGGAGCAAGAAUGGGCACGUGUGGCCAGACGAGAGUACCGUACGAAUAAGCAGCGGCGAACUCCGUGCCAGCAGCCGCGGUAAGACGGGGAUGCAAGCGUUUUCCGGAUUUAUUGGGUGGAACGGGUGCGUAUGCUGUGAGGUAAGUCAGCGGUGAAAGGCCCCCGCUCAACGGGGUGAAGUGCCAUUGAUACUGCCUUGCUGGACUGCGGAUGCCGUGGGAGGCAUGUGUGUUGUAGCGG